Molecule: unclassified non-coding RNA, 205 nt
Filed under: Hevea brasiliensis (rubber tree)
Lineage: Eukaryota; Viridiplantae; Streptophyta; Magnoliopsida; Malpighiales; Euphorbiaceae
Source: RNAcentral
GAUAACAGAAUCUUGAUCCAUCUUCCCAUCUUCAUAGCUCAUGAAAUUACCACCUGUUGUCAAAAUGAAUACUGGUUGGUUUCCUGAUUCUCCAAACUUUCCAGUUUCAAAUCCAUCAGCAAGGAGUUUCAUGAACUGGGUAUCAGCAAAAUCAACAUUUUCCACCAAAGCAACAAUCUUUUCUUGAUUUCUUAAAGUUUUUUCU